This 84-nucleotide transfer RNA is filed under the name Helianthus annuus (common sunflower). Its description in RNAcentral is "tRNA-Gly". The stretch from base 12 to 83 matches the Rfam family "tRNA". From Rfam's summary of the family: Transfer RNA (tRNA) molecules are approximately 80 nucleotides in length. Their secondary structure includes four short double-helical elements and three loops (D, anti-codon, and T loops). Lineage: Eukaryota; Viridiplantae; Streptophyta; Magnoliopsida; Asterales; Asteraceae. The record is from RNAcentral.
CUGGCAGAUCAGCGUUUGUAGUCCAACGGUUAGGAUAAUUGCCUUCCAAGCAAUAGACCCGGGUUCGACUCCCGGCAAACGCAU